RNAcentral lists this ribosomal RNA (253 nucleotides) under uncultured bacterium. RNAcentral describes it as "partial small subunit ribosomal RNA". It matches the Rfam family "Bacterial small subunit ribosomal RNA", at positions 26 to 285 of the family's 1533-position model. The record is from RNAcentral.
AGGACGAACGCUGGCGGCGUGCUUAACACAUGAAAGUCGAACGAUGAAGCCUUCGGGUGGACUAGUGGCGAACGGGUGAGUAACACGUGGGUGAUCUGCCUCGUACUUCGGGAUAAGCUUGGGAAACUGGGUCUAAUACCGGAUAUGACCAGGGGCUGCAUGGUUUCUGGUGGAAAGAUUUAUCGGUGCGAGAUGAGCCCGCGGCCUAUCAGCUUGUUGGUGGGGUAAUGGCCUACCAAGGCGACGACGGGUA